RNAcentral lists this long non-coding RNA (15324 nucleotides) under Equus caballus (horse). RNAcentral's name for it is "lncRNA (ENSECAG00000035300.3)". The record is from RNAcentral. Lineage: Eukaryota; Metazoa; Chordata; Mammalia; Perissodactyla; Equidae.
GCUCCGCCAGGUUGAGGAACGGCAGGUGGGUCAGGAAAGCAAGAGUGUGGGCAGGGAGAGGAGGUGGAGGCCGCCAGAGUGGACAAGGAACCGGGUGGGGAUGAAUGCACCCACCCACCACCCCCUGCAAAGCACACACUGGCUUGGCUUUGGACUGGCAGCUCCCUGGGGGGUGGAGCACGGGGCCUGGUCGGGGGCGCUCCCUGGCACCCUUCUCCCCGCCCCCAACCCCUCAGCGUCUGCAGGAGUUCAGCCAGAGACGGUCGCCCGCGUGACUUCCGCCCCUGCUUCCGCCGGGCCUCCCAGAACAGCGUUUGGCACCUCGUUGAGGUUUCCCCUGCCGCCCUCCUCUCCGCACAGGGACGCGCCCUGGUUCUGCGGUGGAGACGGGGCGCCGGGAUGCUCGUGAGAAGCGAGCCGGAGGGACAGGCCCCCUGGAGGGGCACGCAUAGCUGUGUGCUGGACAAAUAAAUGGCCGUCUGAGCUCGAGCUUCUCUCCCCUGCACGGGCCGGGCGAGUGGGCGGCUGCUUCUCUUUCUGGACUCUGCGCCCCGGAGGCCAGUGUGCUGCCCAUGCCCGUCUGUGUCCUGGUAUGCAGCAGGUGCUCGGUAAGUGUUUCUGGAGUAAAUAACUGGAUCAGUCAAUUCACAAACUUCUCUUGGGCCCGGCUUGUGCUUCUCUGCUACAGGCUCCUUCCUUGGCAAGGGUGGGGGCACCUGCAGCUCAGUGUCCCUAGUGCUGAGCACGUGGCCUGGCUCCCAGUGGGUGUGCUGGAAAGUUCUCUGAGGUUCAGCCAUGACUUAUUCACAAGCCUCGCCCUAAGCUGGCUGGGGCUCCUGCCUCAGAGCCACGAGCCCACCUGGGGAGGCGUUCAGGGCCCCCUCUAGGCGAGUCUGGUGCAGAGUGAGGCGCUGUCUAGCUCCUCCUCUCUCCCCGGCUCACUCCGGGACUUCUUUCCUGCCCCAGGGCCUUUGCGAGUGCUGCCCUCCUGCCUGGACAUCUCUUCCAGGCUGGCCGCUUUUCUUCCAGGGCCUUGGCUUCCCCAUCACCUCCUCAGAGAGGCCCCUGGCUGCCGCAUCGAGCUGCAGCCCUCAGAUGGCGGUGAUGGUUGCACAACUCUGCACUGAAGGCCGCGGAAUUGCACGCUUUACACGGGUGCAUUCAUGCAAUGCGGAUUACGUCGCAUUUUAAAACCUGAGAGGUCGUCAGACAAACCCAAGUUGAUGCCCGCUCUGCAAACCCGGUGACUCAUGCUCCUCGAAUCCGGCCAGGCUGGGGAAGGCGGGAGGACCGCACGGGUUGCAGGAGACCAAGAUGACCGAGGGCCAUGUGGGUCCCCGAACAGAAAAAGGACAUUGGGGAACGAAUGAACCAAGUCUGUAGUUUAGUUCGUGGUCUUGCACCGAAGUGAAUUUCUUAGUUUUGAUGAAUUACUGUCAUGUACGAUUGAUAUCAGGGGAAGCUGGGUGAGAGAUGCGAGAACUCAUACUAUCUUUGCACAUUUUCUGUAAGUCUAAAAUUAUUUCAAAAUACAAAGUUAAACAAACAAACACAGGAGACAGAAAUGACAAGAGAGCGACCCAGGGGUGGAAAAGCUGCCCAGGCCCCAGCAGGAUCCAGCCCUGGGCUGGGGGGAGCCUGGGGUCCUAGUCCUCUGCCCACUACUGCCAAAGAGGCUCCUGGAGCCCCUGGGGAGGGCGACACCUCCGGCUCCACGGCCACGAACCCCGGGGCCUGCCAGUAGCGGCUGUGGAAAAUUCAGGGCAGUGCCUCUCGUUGCUCAUCUAAGGGGCCCAGCGGUGGCCAGGGCAGCCCGGGGGCUCCCCUCCACCCAUGACUGUGCCCCAACACGUCCGCUGAUGCCCCGACCCCUGACACUGCAGCCCUCAGUGCUGGCCGCCAACUUGCAAGGCUCCCAGCGUCCCGCAGGGAGGGAGACACCAAGAGCCCGCUUGGCUGUGAAAAGAGCAAAGCAGCAGCCCCAUGCUGGGACUGGGGCCGCUUCCCAGGGAGCCCAGCACAGGACAUGCAGGUCUGUUUUCUGUCUCCCUUGCUGGACUCUGGGCUCCUGGGGGGAAAAUGCUAAUUUUUAUUUCCCUGGAACCAGCCCUGAACUAGGCACUUAGUUGGUGCUCAAUUAAUGCUCAUGAGUUUCCAAGACACCUUACUCACUGGGUGUCAGCCAAAAAACAGCGCUCUCUAAUCCAAUGCUUUCUAGCUUUUUAAAGCAAUCAAGUCUACGUUUUAGUAAUGAAAUUAGAAAACUUCAUAGAAUAAUACAAUGACCCCCUCCUGCCACUGCCCAGAAUUAACCGUUACCCAGAACGAGACGUUCAGAGUCAGUCACAUUGGCCGCUGAUCCUUUCUUGCUUUAAGAAAUAAAGUGUUACAGAUGCAGCUAAAUUCUGCUGUAACUCCCACCUCCCCUAGAGCCAAGCUCGGUGGGUGGGGCGCCGCCUCCCGCCCUGGGGUCCCCCUCUGUACGCAUGGGCAGGGUCAGUCUGCGGCCUUGUCGACACCUCACAGGCGAGCGCCUCAUCCUGUGUGAACGGCUCUGAUUGUGUGUUUUCUGGUGACAACGUUUAGGAUCGCUGAUGGCAGUCAUGGACAGGGAUCUAUCCUUGUAGGUGGAGCCCCUGCCCCCCGCCCACCCCUGUGCGUCCACCACCUCCUGGUGCGGCCGGGCAGUUGCCCCAGCACGUGUGAUCCUCUGCUGUCUCCGGCUGGAAAUUCUUAACGGGGCCCAGCGUUUUCCUUUUGCCCUCGGCCACACCAACCGUGUAGCGGUUCUGACAACGUGGACACUACCGAGCCCUCGCCUGUGCCAGGCCAUGGGCUAGGCCAGCCGGCUGCAUGAACCGUCUCGAGGAAUCUUCCCAAAGGCUCUGUGAGAGGCCCGCUCCCAUCAGCUUUCUGCAGGUGCAGACCGGUUCCGGCAGCUCAGCAGACACGGCCCGGGGGACGCAGAGCCAGGUUCUGGGCCAUCCCCACGGCCGGGAGCCAGAGGCUCCAUCCUGGUGCUGCCGCCUGGCCGGACGGCUGAAUUCAUUGCACCACUUUUCCUUCAGCCACAUUUCCUCUCCCCGGGGAACUGUCUCAACGAGAGGUGAACACACCCCAGGGUAUUAAUCAGAGCAGCCACUUCCUGUCACCAGAGAGGAGCCGGGCCCCUCACAACCUGCCUUCUAUAAUUAGAGCCGCUGCCUCCUGCACUGGCCGGCGGUGGCUUCUGGCCCCGGGGAGGGUCGAGGGGGCUUGCCGUGCUGUUUCCCAAGAGCCCCGAGGAGCCCAAGGGGUGGUGGGCACGCUUGGGGGGUGCUCGGGUGAGGCGGCCUGGCAGGCUUUGCUCACCUCCGCGGCCUGGGGGCGGAUGAGGUCCAUUUCUAGGACCCAAGGAGCCCGCCCGUCUCCCGGCUCAUUCGUGGAGCGUCCUGAGCAUGUUCCGUGCGCCGUGUGCUCUGCUGUGCUCUGGGGACAGCAGAGAACGGGAUGGACGAGCCCCGUGGAGCUGAGACGGAAACAAACACGUCAAUAAGGAGAUACAGAAACAGGGCAAUUUAAGAAAAGGCCGUGAGGACACUAAAUCAGGGGGAUGGCUGGAGGGGGAUGGUGAAGCUGGGGCGCUCAGGGAGUGUAGUCAGGGCCUGCCUCUGCUGGCCCCUGAGGGCGUGGAAGGGCCUGGAAGGGGACCAGAGACACAGAGAGAGCUGAGGGCAGAGGAAACAGCAGGCGACCGCAUUAGGGCAAGCUGGAGAGGGGUGGUGAGGUCCUACAGGGCCCCCACAGGCCACCGAGAUGGUGUGGAUCCCAAAGAUCAGGAGAAUCUGCUGGACACUGGUCCCCAGACAGCAGAUGUGUUCAGCCACGUCCAAAGCAGUGGUUCUCCAGUGGGGGCGAGUCUGCCCCUCGGGGACACUGGGCAAUGUCCGGGGACAUUUUUGGUUGUCACGGCUGGGGUGGGGAUGCUCCUGGAGUCCCGUGGGUGGGGACCAGGGAUGCUGCUAAACACCCUUCAGUGCCCAGGGUGGUGACUCUAGCCGGGUGACUCCGGAAAUGUUACUCUUUGAGGCUCCAGGUGCCUCUCUGUCAAAGUAGGGGCAGUGCCACCAUCUGGGCUGCCCAGGGGGCUUCUGUGCUGGGGGUGGGGACCCAGGAGGUGUGUUGGAUGGGGAAGUGACUUGUCAUUCUGUUCUGAGUGUUGAGUGACCCUCGAGAGCUGGAAACUCAAGUUCGAAGUGUGGGCGACAUUCAAGAUGCGGGCGGCCAGUUCAGCCAGCCCGGGCGCCGCUGCACAGUGAACUCCCGUCUGCUAGGCUGUUCCAGACCCGUCUUCCACAGCAAGCCCGUGUGGUGGCAAGACCCCCGGCGGCAGGGAUGUUUGGUUGGGAACCGGCCCCGCCCCCUGUGGUUGACGACGACUUUGGGGUCCUCGCAGGUUCCGGGUGAGGGAUGACCUGAGAAAGAGGUGCUGGCAUCUUGCCGACACAGCGCCUGGGAGCCUCAGUGAGGAAGGAGCAAGGAGGGACCGUCGCCUGGAAUCCUAACUUGUGGAGGCGUUUAUUCUGACCCGUCAGUUUGGAAGGAGAGGUUCCUGGCCCCCAGGGCUCCGGGGAGAGUUGCUGCGGGACUGCACCUGCUGCACCUCGGCCUCACUGGCUGGCUUCUUGCUCCAGGAAAUGCAGCCCAUUCCUCUGGUCCCUCCGUUCUUCCUACCCCCCCCCCCCCCCCCCCCCCCCCCCCCCCCCCCCCCGCCUCAGUGCCUGCAACCCCAGCCCCGGAAGGGUUUCCUCCAUGGGGGGUGCUCUGAGGACGCUCAGGGGAAUGGAAGGCAGGCAAUGGGGGGUGGGGGCAGAGACUGUCACUGCCUUCCCAAGCUGCAGCCUCUCUCGUCCCCCCUUCCUGCUCGGAAGAUGCUUCCAGCGUGCACCUGCCAGGAACUGUUGCAGAUGCCGUCUGAGAAACCUUCAAAGGAGCGGAACAAAACGUUUAUCCCUGAGGAAACGUCGACAGUUAACUGUUACCUGGGAGAAUGCACAGUCUGGCAGGCAGAGCAACAGGUGCACACGAGAGCUGCUCUACAGGCCGAUGAAGUUAGAAAACAAGUAUAAAAUGAUAAAACCCAGUGUUGGCAGGGAUGUGGGGAAAAUGACACAUCAGCUUCGCUGUAAACAGAUUCAGAUGCUGAAGAUCACUGUGUCUGUGUGAAACAAGGGCUGUGACACUGCACGUACCCUCCAACCCAGCGUUUCAUCUUUUGGCAAAACAUUUUUGUCCUCAGGGACAGAAACAUGCAUAGUGGAGUUAUUUGAAAGUGGGAGAUGGAAAAACCAAAAAUCGAAAAACUCAGAUGCCCCGUGCUAACAUUUGUGGAGCGCUCACACUGUUUGAAAUGCUGAACGUGAUUACUCUUUAAUCCUUACAGCCGCUCUGCAUCUGUGUGUUUAUGAGGCCCUGAGUCAGCCCUUCCCCCGAGGUCCCUCAGGAGGUGAGCGGCAGGGCUGAGGGCUGAACCCAGGCGGCACCACCUCAAACUCGAUGGCAGUGGGGGGUCUCCGCCCCACGCAGUUGCUCGGUAACAUGAAGGCAGAAUUGCCCACCAGAGAGAGGGUGACCUGCAGCUCCGUGGGGUGUGCGGUCACCAGGGUGCGGCCUGGAGACAAAAGGGCUCCUUUGUGCUUCUGCCUGGCGGUAAACACCAGCCACUGCCCGGCAGGCAUGCCCCAGCCUGCGGCUCUGGAAUGUGGGCGAGCCACCAUCCUGACGACCGGCCACUGGUGGCUGGUCUCGAGGUGGCCAGGCCCGGCCUGCAGACCCAGCCACCCGCGCUCUGUGUGUGCCCGAGGAAGGAGCCCAGCCCUUCACACCGCCUCGAUGGACGCUGAGCAGUUGAAGUGAUGCCCAGAACCCCAGUGUCCGCUCUGGGCAGAAGCACCGGUGGCCUCGAGGGUGGAAGUGCUGGAAGGAUGGCGACAGCUCCAGGCAGCUGCGGCUUCAAGGAGGCUGAGACUGUGGAGAUGCUCUGCCUCCUGAGAAGGGGACGGGAGGGGACACAUCCUGGUGGCACGUCCGAGGCUGGUUUUAGCCUGGUGCCUGCGUCUUUACAGCCGGUCCCCCAGCUGCUCAGCCCCUGCUUAGCAGAGCGAGGGCAGGGCUCCGGCUCCGAGCCGCGGGCAGGCAGCGGCGUUUACUGCGUGACUUAUCUCCCACGUGCUCGUUUUCGGAGUCGUCUUCUCUUGGUGGCAGUGACACUCCUUUUCCAUUUACAUGGAUCACAGAGAAUUUUCUUUUAAAAUAAACUUAAGUAAAAAAAAAUAAGGUGAGUCAUUUUGAAUAAAAAUAUGAAGCAAAUGGUAGAUGGAUGGAGAUGGUCGGAGUCAUAGAGGUGGCCCCCAAGGGUCUGGAGUUUGGGAUUCGCAGACAAGGGCCUUCCUGGGUCCCUGGCAAGACGGGCUGGGCAGGCAAACGCCCGGAGGUGCGGGUCUCACCAGCCCCUCGCCCGGCGCUCCUCUGUCCCCACGUCCCGGUAGCUGAUUCUUAGUCUCUGGGACCUUUGGCCUCCUCUCCCUUUCUCCCCUCUCUCUCUUCUUCCCUCCUUCUCCGUGUCCCCAAGUCACGUCCGGGGAAGCAUCCUACAGAUCCAGCGCAACCCUUUGGCUGCCCUCUUGGUCUGAGGGCUUCCUUUUGGGGAGGGGGGUGCCCCGGGUGUCAGCUCUCACUGCCCCGUUCUCCUCUCCUUUGUUCGUCCAAUCAAUGCACCAGUUUCCACAAGGUGCCCUGGCUGACCCCACCCGGCCAAUGAAAUGAGCCUCGCCGACGGGCCUGGCGGGAACCGGUGCGUCUGAGGGCUCCCUGGGUGACUCCGGUGAGCGUCGCGGCGGGAACCUGGCCUGCAGCCUCCUCCCUCAAACUCAUUCGUCCCUCUCCCCGUCAACUUGGCCGCCCCCCCGACCCUGCCCAGUGGCGCAGACCUGUCGUUCUCCAGCCGGAUCUUCCCCGCCUGGGCCGUCUGGUUAAAAUGCAGGCUCUGGUGCCAGUCAGGGGGCCUGAGGUCCUGCAUCUCCAACCCACGUUGCUGACGCUGCCAGGAUCUCAUGCUCGGAUCGGUCGGGGUGUAGACGAACUUUCUGUCUGGACAGACGGUAAGUACCCUCAGUUUUGUGGGCCAUCCCGUUUCUGUUGAAAUGACUCAGCUCUGUGGUCAUGGCACCGAAGCAGCCCUCAACUGUACACACACGGCUGGGUGCCCACGAAGCUUCAUUUACGAAUUCAGGUGUUGGGCGGGUUUGGCGCUAGUUUGCCGACCCCUGGUGUAGACCAUGUUCUCUGUGGUCGGCCUUGGUGGACACCACCGCUCACCCCUCAGGAGCCCUCUGCGGCAGACCGUUAUCUUCCUCUCUGUGCCGCCGAGGAGUGGGCUGAGGCUCAGAGAGGGUCAGCCAUUUGUCCCAGGUCACACAGCCAGCAAGUGCCAAAGUUGGGACUGAAACCCAGCUCUUCUGGUUGCAAAGCCCGUAUGGCCUGGCCACAGCGAGUCACCAAAGCCCUUUGAGCCUCAGUUUCCCCACAGGCUGUCUCGAGAAGGCACUCUUCAGACUCUCUCUGCAGCAGUCACUGCCUCCCAGGGUCAGUGGGAGGUUAAAUACGGUAGUGAUUGGCACACAAGUGCUAGGAGGUUUUUCAUUCAUUCAGUGAGUGUUAGUUUGCUUGCUGAGAUGGUGACAGGAAAGGGAACUAGACAGAGGCCUCCCAUGGGGCCUGUGGGUCGUGGCCUUCCUCGUAAUUCUCCAGGGCCCCCCGAAGGAGGCCUCCUGAGCAGGUGCAGGGUGCCUUCCUGCCUCCCUCUGGGGGUCUGGCUCCCGUCGUCCUGGCCAGGGCUCUCCCCUGGACACAGCCUGCUUCCCCCCCGAUCCCCGUGGUCUGACUGCACGCACUUUCAGUCUCAGGUCGGCGUUUGUCAGCUCCGCCUAGGCCCUCCUGACAACACUCUCCUGCAGGGAGCCUGGCAUCUCUGUCAGUCUGGGGGUCAUUUUGGCGUGGCUGGACAGGCGAUGGAGAGCACGGAAGCCAUGCUCCUGUCCCCUGACUAUAACUCUUUUUUGUGUUCACGAAGGACCCUGGUCUCCCCCAUGCUUCUGUUCAGUCACCUUAGUGUGUUAGUUUUUAGUCCUUUUUACCAGUUGCUUCCUGAUCACAAAAUGGCUGCCACUGCUCCAGCCUCUUGACCUCACAGCAGCAGCACAAGCAGGACAGCAGGGAGAAAGCUUACAUCUCAUUGACUAGAACUGGGUCACGUCGCUGCUACUAGCUGCAAAGGAGGCUGAGAAGGCAAGAAUCUGGCAGAGGGCAAUGGGGCGGCUGUGACUAGACCAGUCGUGAUUCGUCCCCAGGUGCAGGGGAUGUUGCUGGUCCAACCAAACUGAUGUUUUGCUAGCAAGGAAGAAAUGGGGAGUGGCUUUCGAGAGGGCAGCCCAGAGUGAGUGUGACAGGGGCCAGAGAGGUUGGAGAGCAGAGUGUGAGGGAAUCAUGGUGGUGGAGAGGCUGGAGGCCAGGCCCCACGGGGCCUCACGGACCAUCCUAGGGUUGUUUGUAUCUCAAGGGCAAUGGGGAGCCAUUGAAGAGUUUGGGGCCAAGGCAGGUAGCAUGAGAGGAUUUGUGUGUCCAAGAGAAGUGACUCGGAUGGUGGUCCUGAGUCCUCUGAGGGGGCUGCCCGUGCCCCGAAUGGCUUCACAAAGGAAGCUCCGGAUGAUGGAGCCUAACCCCAGACCUCGGAGACUCCAGGAAACCAUCCAAGCCAGGCCUCUGGCGGCAGAGACCUGUCUCCAUGCCUGGGCCGAGGCGGGAGCCACCAGACACGCCUCCCUCCUGCAGGGAUCCCGUGUCCUCACGGGGGCCCAGGUCCCAGGACUGGCCAGACGAGCCAACGCUGCGGGAUUUGAGGACAGGCGCGGGGACCCGUCCCUCUGUCUGGAGCUUAGCAGGGAGCCAGGGGUGAGAGGAUGACCCUGCGGUGACGAUGGUCCUUGCCAGCCGGCCAGGCACUGGGCUGAACUCGCCGUGCGUCAUCCUUCAGUCGCCAUGACGACUGUGGGAUGCGGCUUAGGGAGCCAGUGUCAUGGUCACCGGGAGUCACCCCGUCCGGGCCCUGGGGAAGAACUCCUGGGGUGUGAACUCGCUUAGUGCUCGCAAGAGCCCAGAACCCUCUCCAACUCCCCGCUCCCUUCCCCCUCUGCCCCCGCCAUAUCCCAUCCGUCAGCUUGACUUGGAAAGUAUCUCCAGAAUCAGACCUUCCCCUCCUGCCCUGCUCCCAGCCUGGGCCCAGCCAUGCUCGCCUCCUGUCGGAUCAUUGCGUCCUCCCUCACACAGUGAGACAGAUCCUUUAAAACCUUCACUGCGAUCCUGUCCUCACUCUGCUUGAAACCCUCCAGCGGCUUCUCAUCCCCUGCACAACCAGAGCCCUGCCCACCUCUGCAUGCCUGCCUCCUACCACUUCUUCUGCUCCAGCCUUUCCAACCUCAUCCUGCCUCAGGGCCUUUGCACUGGCUGUUCCCUCGAACAGGCUGUUCCCUCAGGCCCAAAGUGCUCUUCUCCCUGAAAUCAGAACAGCUUGCUCCCUCUUUUCAUUCGGGUUCUGCUCAAAUGCCCUCUCCUCGAAGGUAGCAGGCUCCCUCCUCGUUAAAGGGGACCGCCCCCCUCACGCUCUGUUCCCUCCCCCAACAGAGGGCUAUGUUUUGGGUCUUUGUGCUCCCACCCAGAAUAUAGACUCCAGGCAGGGAUUUCUGUGGGUUCUGUUCUCUGCCGUAUCUUCAGCGUCUAGAUCAGUGUCUGCCCAGUGUAGGAGCCUAACAGAAAUUUCUUAGGUAAACGACCAACCUGCGAGGUGGGUACUGUUGUCAUCCCCACGUGGUAGGUGCAGAACAGACCCAGACAGGUCCGGCAACUUGCCCAGGGCCAAGGGACCUUCAGGCCAGGGAGCCUAGAGUUGGGCCCUCAGGGGCUGACCCCAGAGCCCUUGCAUGCCACCCCUGCAGGGCGCUGUCUCCUGUGUUACGCAUGGGCCUGAAGCAGGUGGUUCUGGGCUCAAAUCCUUGCUCUACAGUUCCCAGCUGUGUGACCUGGGGCAGCUGUCUCAAACUCUCUGGGCUCUGCUCCUUGUCUGCACAGAGUGAGCAGCCCUUCCUGCCGAGGGUGCACAGCUCUGAACAGAGCUUGGCAUCCGCGAAGCUGGGCUAUGGCUGCCUAUCGUGGCUCUCCCAUUUAGGAGGCGGGGCGACUGGGGCCCAGAAGAUGCUUGAGGUCACAGGCCUCCGGAUUGGAGGGCAGGUCCGGCCACUCCCUCGCCCCACCCCCCAGCGGCAGCCCCACCCUCCCUCGGUCCUGCCAGCGGUCAUUGGCCUUGACAGAGGGGGCUGCCCUGUGCUUUCCCCUGGCCUCUCCUGGUUGGGGUGGAGGGGGUAUGGGUCAAGGAAGGGCUCCGGCCAGCCACUCCCCUCUCCCAGCUCCUGGUGGCGCUGGGCCACCUGCAGGGCGAGCCACUAACUGUCCUGGUCGCCCGGAGGCAGGACCCUCGGGGCUAAAACCAGGAGAGGCCCAGGCAGACCCAAGUAGGUUGGUGUUUGUGAGGUUGGAUGAAGUGACAAAGACGGAUGAGUCAGGACACUAGCAGGACUCGGAGACUGGCGGCCCUGCCGAUGGUGACCCCCCCUGGGCGCCCCUCCAUGCCCCUCGUCCUCCCUGCACCCUCGGGCCCCCCCUGGGUGUGGUGGGUACCAGAUCAGGAAGCCGAGGCCCGGGAGGGUCGGUCCCAGCCCGGUCGCCCCGAGCUUCUGACCCGGACCUGCGUCCCUCUCCCAGGCCCAGUGCCCGCGCGCCCUCCGCUCGCUCCCGCAGAGCUGCCAGUCACAUGCCCCGGGGGAGGGCGGGUGGGUGACUCCCCGCGCUGGAGGCUCCAGCACACUCUCAGCACCGUCAGAUAGGCCCCUGCCAGGCUCCUACAGGAACGCGGGGCCUCAGCGCCAGUGCCCAGCCCCCCGCUGGGGACAACCCCUCCAGGAGGGCGGGCGGGUGGCCACCGCCUCUCCUCGGCCAUAUAUGGACAGGAGCCGGGACCCUGCAGCCCGGUGGCGAUCAGGGCUGCCACCACCUCGGCCGACCCGGCAUCUCGGGCUCCCUGGGGCCGCAGCCUUGGCCGUAGGGCAGGGCUGGCGAGGAGGCUGGGGACAGGCGAGCUGCGGGCGGCGGAGGCUCGGCGGCGUGGGCCUCCCGGUCCCAGGAGCUCCGGCCAGGCAGCGGGCGCGGGCUCUGACCAAAUAAGGCCUGGCCCACGGGCCUGCGGCCUCCCCUCCUCCCAGCCCAGCCAGCCGCCUGGACGCUGGCCCUGUGGCUCGAAGGGGAGUCCCCCUGAGAAGCACCCCCAGGAGAGGAGCCUCCGUUUAGAACUUCUGGAAUGUUCCAUUUGGAACCUUCAGAAGGCUCCAUCUACAAUCUUGAGAGAAGGCCAGGUGCAGACAGAUUCCGGGAACUCCCACAGCCCCACGGGAGCCCCAGCCAGCCCCAGGGCACCAGCCGCAUCCAUCCCCGCUGUGAGCACACCCACCCCAGUCCCCAUGCCCCGGGGGGUUCUGCUCUUGGACUCCGUUGGCAGGUCCCAGGCACACUGGUCAGACCCUUGCCGGCGCCUGGGCUGUGGGGUCGAGGGCAAGGCUGGCCGAGGGAGGGGCCCUGGGCUCUCGAGAUCACUGGGGGCCCCUGGGCAGUGACCUGUCCCCACCUGUGCCUGUGAGCCGGUGAGUGACCUGUCCCCACCUGUCCCUGUGAGGGCCAGUGUGAGCCCUGGAGGGAGGACGUGCCCCUCUGAACCAGCUGGAGCCCCACCUGGGGAGCAAACCCCUGCAGGUGAGGAACAGGAGGGGGCAAGCCCACGGGGGGCCAGGGCGAGGUGGGCUGAGGCUUGUCACAUGUCAGGAGCCUCUGAGGGGCUUGGAGCUCCCGGGUCUGCCUGCCUUCGUGCCUUGGUUCCAGCGGGCGACUUUGCUUCCUGGAGCCUCAGUUUUGCCAUCCUUAAAAUAGGCGUAACACAGACCUGAGCUCGGGGACGGCUGCGGGGACCCCGCGGGUACAGUGCGGAGGGCCCUGCAGAGAGCUAUGGGAGGACUAAGCGGGAUCCCGGGCGAGGGGGGCACCCCUGGUUUCCAGGGAGACUGGGGGAGGUAGGGGUGCUCCCUUGGCCCCAACACCCCCUCCAGGCUUUUCUCGGCCCUCCCUGCUUUCUCCUCAGCCUAGCGGUGCUGGGGUGGCAUUUCGAGGUCUCCCGAGCCACCCGCACAGCAGGAAGCUUGUGGCCAGGGUGACAGCUGUCAUACAUGUAAACAUGCAUGUGUGUGCAUGUGCAGGGGCACCCGUGAGGCCCCGUGAGCACAGCCGUGCGAGGUGAGCACGUGCAGGAGUGAGUGCCCGGGCCCUGGUGUGGGAGUCGGGACGUGGGGCUAUUUGCGGUUUCUGCUGCUGCCCGUUUCUGAAGGCUUUUCAGGAGUUCUAGGAUCUCAGGGGUGGGGCAGAAUUAGGGCCCCCGUGCAAAAGGGGAAUGUGUGACCCCACGUUCAAAACGUACCAAGACUGUGAAGACGGCCACAGCAGGGCAUUAAACCGAGGUUGGGGCCUCCUGAGUGUGGGGGCCCAGUGCGAGCCCCCGGGCCCUUCCCGCUCCCUGGGGCGUGGGGGUGUGUGUGACCUGGCCGGGCCCAUGGACACUCCAGCCCGCAGCGGUGGUAGGACCCGCAGGAAGGGUCUGGAAAGUCUAUGAAAGAGACACCCUGGUUCCCAUCUUGGGAGCAGCCGGGAGCCACGUGGGGACAGGACACACAGCCUAAGGCAAGUGUCUCCCAGCCUCUCUGUUGAAGCCCAGGGUCAGGGUCGUCCCUGCGGACCGGAGGCUGGCAAGCUGGCGCAGCGCCUGCUUUUAGCCAGCCUGGCAGGACGCUGUGGGCGGGGGGCCUGGGCAGAGCUGGGGAGCCUGGGGGUGGACGGCAGGACGGCCGAGGGCCCCAGGGCCUCUCCUCGGGACAGGAACAGGAGGCUGCCCCCUGGGGUUCCUGCAAGGGGCUUGGGGCUCCCCCGACAGCUGCGGCCUUGGACCCUGGCCCCAGGGGUGCACUCUGCUGGAAAGUUCUCUGCGGUCUCCAGAAGCACCCACCCAGGCGUGGGAACCUGCCCCGUGGAACUUGGGGCUGUUCUGCUGGAACCUCAGGGACUGGGUCCGAAGCUUGGGGACCCCACCUGGUCCCGAGCUCUGAGCGCCCUCAGGGUGGGGUGGGCCUGGCUCACGCGGAGGGGUCUCCCAGAGCCUGGCACAGCGCCGGCACAGCAGGGACACACAGCCUUCCUGUGGGGCUGGAGAAAAUGGACACGUCCAGCCAAUGCCAUCAGACCACGCGUCCGUGUCGCCAGAUGCCUCUGCUGGGGCUGCCAAGAUGGCAACCAGUGCACCGUCUGGCUUCGACGCUGCGUAUUAACGGGCAGCCUGGUGAUGCACGUCCGCCCGCCCAUGUUUCGAUGUGGGAAAAAGGUCUUUUCUCCGAGGGCCUGGGAGUCUGCGAUGGGCUUCCCCGGUCUCUCUUGCAUGAACCACAUGCCCAGUGCAUCUCUUGCCUUUUGCAGUUUCUGUUUCUUUAAAGUGGGGAGAGAAGGAAUAUGUUCCCAGAGACACCCAACUGGAGAGCUCCUGGGCAGACUUCAAUGCUCUAAGAAGGAGGACCGGAGAUGAAGUGCCCUGCCUGUCACAUGCUGUCAGGGGCUCUGUGAUACCCACACGGCACUGUCGUUACUUUGAAGCCGUUCCAGAAGAAUAACACGACGGCACGUUUCCUAUGGGAUGGUUGAAAAUGCGACCAGCUGCAUACCGGCUCCAGGACACACGCACAGACACAGAAGAGGCCCCAGUGUCUGGAUGGCGCGACCCCACGGCAUCUCGGGGUUUCGGGUGUGGACUGACUCUGCUCCCAUUUCAAGCACAAGGCCGUUGUCCAGUGGGCUGGGGUGGGAGUGGGUCAGGGGGGGCUUCCUGUCUCCUUGGUUGCACUUUGGGGACAGACUCACCCUGGACCUCUGUGGACAGGAGGUGAGGGGCCCCUUUCAGCUCGUGGGCCCUUGUCAGACUGACCACAUCAUGUGGCCACCACUCAAGCUGAUUGAAGCCUCAUUUGUAAGCAUCUUCUUCCAUCCCAGCAUGACUCGGGGCCUCCCAGGAAAAACCAGAAACCUGGGUGGGUCCUUGAAGCCCCUCUCCCUCCUCAAGUCUAUGCGUCUGCUCUUGGAUUCUCGCCCAAAACUUCUCAAGCCCGGUUCUCCCAUGGAUGUCGCAACCCCCGGUCCACCUCCGUCUCCUUCCUGGAGGACCACAUCUGCCUCCUCACCCAUCUUCGCGUGCUCUGGGGCCUCUCACACUGUCUCCGCACCUCCCCGAUGAUCAAUCAGGCCCCGUGGCUCUUUCCUGCUGCAAAUGCUCCACGGGACUCUGGGCUGGAUACACGAGCCUGCACACAGGAUAAACCACAUCGCUCUAAACACACACGUGCACACGCACACACACACACAUAAACACACACAAGUGCAAGCCAACUGGGGAAAUCUGAAUGAAGUGAGUGGGUUGUAUCCAUGGCAAUAUCCUGGCUGAUACUGCUCUACAGUUUUGCAAACUGUCACCACUGAGGGGACCAGGUAAAGGUGCGUGGGGUCUCUGCUUUAUUUCUUACAACUGCAUGCAAGUCUACAAUUAUCUCAAAAUAAAAAAAUUAAUUUAAAAUAAGUGCUCCAAAGGCUUCUGCUUGUGCACAGAAUCAAAUCCACACUCCUACUGCAGCCCCCAAGCCCCUCCACGCUCUGGCCCGGCCCACCCCAGCACUCACCUGUGAUCCCCACCCACUCACCCUGGCCUGCUUACCUCCUAACCCUGUGUCCUCCCACCUGAGGGCCUUUGCACGUGCUCUUCCUCUGCUGGGAUGGCUCCCCUCCUCCCCAGGUCCACUUCCCCCAAGUCCUACUUAUCCUUAAAGUUCCAUUUCAAGUGCCAUUUCCUCUGAGAAGCAUGUCCUGCCCAGUGAGAUCCGCCAGGUCUGCCUGUGCAAGCUCCUGCAGCCCCCUGUGCCUGUCCUUCGAAGCUCCUAUGCUGUGAUUAUGUGGUCAUUUGAGGGAUUAUCAGAUUAAUGUCCACCUUCCUCUCGAUGGGGAGCUGAUGAGGGCCCAGCACUAAAAAAGCAGCAGACCCUAAGCAGGUGCUCAAUAAAUAUCUGUUGGAUGAAUGAACAAAUGAGCUAAUGAAUGAAAAUCGCC